CAGCCGCCGCGUAAUACCGGCGGCCCGAGUGGCGGUCACUAUUAUUGGGCUUAAAGCGUCCGUAGCCGGGUUGGGAAGUCCUCCGGGAAAUCUGGCCGCUUAACGGUCAGAAUGCCGGAGGAUACUCCCAGCCUAGGGGGCGGGAGAGGCCGAGGGUAUUCCCGGAGUAGGGGUGAAAUCCUAUAAUCCCGGGAGGACCACCUGUGGCGAAGGCGCUCGGCUGGAACGCGUCCGACGGUGAGGGACGAAGGCCAGGGGAGCAAACCGGAUUAGAUACCCGGGUAGUCCUGGCUGUAAACGAUGCGGACUUUGUGUCGGACAAGCUAUGAGCUUGUCCGGUGCCGGAGGGAAACCGUUAAGUCCGCCGCCUGGGGAGUACGGCCGCAAGGCUGAAACUUAGAGGAAUUGGCGGG
This 413-nucleotide ribosomal RNA is filed under the name uncultured microorganism. RNAcentral's name for it is "bacterial SSU rRNA". It matches the Rfam family "Archaeal small subunit ribosomal RNA", at positions 459 to 872 of the family's 1478-position model. The record is from RNAcentral.